This is a long non-coding RNA of Parasteatoda tepidariorum (common house spider), 822 nucleotides long. RefSeq lists it as uncharacterized. The record is from RefSeq and is a predicted model, not a curated record. NCBI's taxonomy places the organism in Eukaryota, Metazoa, Arthropoda, Arachnida, Araneae, Theridiidae.
AUUUACCAGCAUGCUGUAGCAUUUAUUCUCUAAAUUCAAACUUUCCCCACCAUUUUCUUUCACUCCGAUGGGAGUAAAAAUGGCACUUUCACCCCAGUAGUUUUCCUCUUAUGCUAGGCAGUUCCUGAUUUUUUUCUUCACAUAGAAGGGUGCAAUCUUCUCCAGACUUUGCUGUUUCUUGGAAUUGAAUGUCCCCAAAUCCUGCUUGGUCUCCGAUAAUAGAGGUUAAAUUCUUCUUCAACAACUGACAACAAUGCUCCUUUGCUUUACUUGAUCCAUCUUGUCCAUGGAAAUAACGACCAUUUUUUUUUCUAUUUUCUUCUUCUUCUCUAUUCUUUCAGUGACAUCAGAAUUUCCAUUAAGGCACUGAAUUUAUCGUUCUUCGCUAUGGAAGGUGCCGUAAGUGUUGCUCAUUUUGCGAUACCUGGUGAGCACCUUGAGACCAAAGUCACAGAGGCAAGCAACAUUACCCACGCCACACUGCCACAGAUACCCGUUUUAUAGGGUGGGCCACAUUCACACAUCACACAAUAGAGAACACACAAAGAGAAACAUCCAUGCCCUGAGCGGGAUUCGGCUUUGUGGUCAGACACACUGACCAAGUAUCGAACCAGAUUUUCUGUCCAGAUUCUUCCAUAUUUGAUUUCUGUAAGUUUAGUGCUCUGGUUUAUGAGUAACACCUCAUUUUGGCAGACUCUGGGAAUUCAAAAUUAAAUCAACCAAGAGACACCUGCUGAAAGUAUCCAACUCAGCUGUACUGAAUUUUGAAGAAUUGGCUAUGCUCUUGUGCCAAAUUAAGACUUGUCUUAAUUUCAGAUUAUU